Paramormyrops kingsleyae is the source of this 5443-nucleotide non-coding RNA. Lineage: Eukaryota; Metazoa; Chordata; Actinopteri; Osteoglossiformes; Mormyridae. The record is from RefSeq and is a predicted model, not a curated record.
GGAGGCGCGCCGCGCAGCCCGGUCACGUGACCGGCCCGGUGGCCGGAGACCGAGGCGGCGCGUUCAUCGAGGGGCCGCUAUAGAGAAGCGGGGAUACGGGAGGCGGUCUGCGCGCACACACACGGCGAAGUGUGGGAGUCUGCUUGCCGGGGAGAGGCUGCACACACGCCGAGGGAAGGGGAGAGCGUUACUUCGGGGAAUUAAAACAACGAAAACGCUUUGAAAGCUACCAGCAUGCGGGAGUUUAUUACUCUUUUUAUGUGACUUGGGGAAUCAUUACGGAACAGCGCGACCGAGCCGCCUCGGUACCGUAGAACUGCUUUUCACCCGGGAUCAACUGGCAAGAAAAAGAAAGAGACUCCUGGUAUAAAGAGAGACUUCGCUGUUUAUUAAGAAGAGACCGGACGGGUUUUGUAUUGUUUUAUACGGUUUUGUUUCGCACCUUUAUACAUUUUUUCUCCUUUUUUUGUCGCCGUUGUAUUUUGAUCGGAAAGCUGAAAUAUGGUUGGGGAAAUGGAAGCGAAGGAGAAGCCGAAACCGACCCCAGAUUAUUUAAUGCAGCUCAUGAACGACAAGAAACUGAUGAGCAGCCUGCCCAACUUCUGCGGGAUCUUCAACCACCUGGAGAGGCUUCUGGACGAGGAGAUCGGCAGAGUGCGGAAGGACAUGUAUAACGAUACACUGAAUGGCAGCACGGAACGGCGGGCGUCGGAACUGCCCGAGGCCGUGGGCCCCAUCGCACAGCUGCAGGAGAAGCUCUACGUUCCGGUAAAAGAGUACCCCGACUUUAACUUCGUUGGGAGGAUCCUGGGGCCCCGGGGGCUGACGGCGAAGCAGCUGGAGGCGGAGACGGGCUGUAAGAUCAUGGUUCGAGGAAAGGGCUCCAUGCGGGACAAGAAGAAGGAGGAGCAGAACCGCGGGAAGCCAAACUGGGAGCACCUAAACGAGGACCUGCACGUGCUGAUCACCGUGGAGGACUCGCAGAACAGGGCCGAAAUCAAGCUGAAGAGGGCCGUGGAGGAGGUGAAGAAGCUGCUGGUCCCAGCGGCGGAGGGGGAGGACAGCCUGAAGAAGAUGCAGCUGAUGGAACUCGCCAUCCUUAACGGAACCUACCGCGAUGCCAACAUCAAGUCCCCUACCCUCUCUUUCUCCUUAGCCACUGCGGCCCAGGCCCCGCGCAUCCUCACGGCUCCUGCCUCAGCGAUGCCCCCCGCCGCCCUGCGAGCAGCGCCCACCGCAGUGCCCCCUGCAGGCCCCGCUCUUAUGCCCCUCAUUCGGCAGAUCCAGACCUCCGCCCUCAUGCCGGGUGCCACGCCCCACGCUGCCACCCUGCUGCCCCAAACUCCAGAGUCGGGCCUCAUCUACGCCCCGUACGAGUACCCCUACGCCCUGGCGCCGGCGUCCAUCAUGGAAUACCCCAUCGACGCCAGCGGAGUGCUAGGUGUGGCUUUCCCCACGAAAGGCUAAACGGCCCUCUCUGCCUGCCCCCCCCCUCCCCGACUGCCAUUUACAUGAACUGGGACAGAAUAACACUCGCUUAGAUUAAUACUGUGUUUGGGUAAUAAAAAAAUUCACUUCAUAGCCGUACUAAUCAUUUCCCUGAGUGUAGCUGUCUCUGGGAUGCUCAGUUUGAGGUUGUGCAUGCGCAGGCGUGCGGGAGGGUGUUUGGCUUUCCGACCCCACCCUGAUCACAUGACUAGGGAAGCCUCGUAUCAACCAUUCCUGAACCAAGGACCCAAGUCGGCGGCGGCUGCCUGCGUUCAGGACUUCCGGCACCACAAAGCAUCGCCGUACACGUCCUUAUUGAAGGAUAUCCGCUGUGCCUUCAGUCUCUCUUGUGCUGUGUUUUAUUUCCUGUUGGUGUUUGCUGCUGUCGUUUAAUAAGCGUCUCCUGUCUCUGUCGAGCUGUGAGUGGGAGACCGAGCCGCUAACUGCCUGGCGUGUGUCACCAUCCAAGCAGGUGCGGUCGCCACUAAGGUUCGAAGGCACGAGGUUCGAGUUCACCCUUACCAAAGGGUCGUGACCUCUGACAGAGCCGCCACAGGCAACUAACCUUUGACCUUCUGACCUCUGAACUCUGCACCCAAUGAUGACCUGACCGCUUCCUGCCCCGCUGACCAGCUCUCUGGCCACGUCUUCCCUCCGCCAUCUCGCGGUUGCCGGGAGAGCCCAAGCCACAGCUUCUCACCCUAACAACGCGCCCUAGUGACUUCACUCUGCCCUCCCCCGCCCCCCCGGACCCAGGCCCCGCCCCCAGAUCUAGGCCCCACCUCCUUUUCCCCGCCUACCCGCUCUGUUGCUGCCCAUUCCCGGUCAGGUGAUCAUGGUCCUGUACCUGCACUGAAUAGUGAAGCAAUAAGGUCCAAUUUGUCCCGCCUUGGCUUGCCCCCCACCCCAACCCUGCCCCCACCCUCCCACCUCUCCAGCCUUGUGAAGAGAAGCAGAACGCCGAGAUCUGACAGCAGCCCCAUGGGGGGGGGGCGAGCUGGUGCCAUCCUCUCUACAAUGGGUGUGGGGGUCCCUCCCAAAUCACAGGCACCCUGCUGGGGGGCCUCGGGCCUCUCCCCCGCAGCGUGCUCAUCAAGUCCCCAGGGUGUCGUGCCACCCAGCCUUCCUCUCCGGCACGUCACCAUCACACGCACACACACACCCCCCCCACCGCAGGAACACGCGCCUGUGAUCCGUAUGAGUGUUCCUGGGUGUGGGGGGGCGUCAUCCAGCACGGGUAGGUGCAGCCCAAAGCAUCCGCCAACUGUCAGCGCCCCCAGCCGGUCCUGAAGGGCCUGAGCCGCCGGUCACCGCCAGCGACCUGCUUCCGGAGGGUUCCGCACGCGUGCUGCUCGCGGCCGAUCAGCCCUGCCACUGCAGAGCCGGAGUUUGAAAAACUUACUCUGGGUUUUGUAUCUGAAUCACAUCGUGGGCAGGGGGGGGAGUCCGUCAUAGACGGGUCUCUCCAGUCCUCCUGCGGUAGGGUGACACAGCGAAGGAACCGGGCCCCCCAGGACCGCAGGUAGCGGUACCAGCGACCCAUGUCGCUGCCCGCGGGCCGUGACGAAGGCAGCCGUGUAAAAAGCACCCUUUUCGAAGGAUGUAAAAGCCAUGCUCUGAAUUUAUGGGAGGAAGAAACUGCUGACUUAAUGUACAAUAUCUGGGAAUUAGCAAACAAACACUGAAAUAUUAAAUAUGUACUUUUAUGAUACAGGGGUGCUGCAGAAGAGUAGGAGUAUAUUUUUCAGAAGUGUAGCCUUUUCUAUCUUACAGUAUUGUAUAGAAAACAUGGAACAAAGAAGCCCUUUAUGUCACCAUAGGAGGUCAUUUCCAGCACAGGGAGGGGGACUCUCCUUUUUGCGGAUGGAGAAGCAUCGACCAAAACAGCCUUCUGUUCUUUUGUUUUUUCAUUAAGCAUUUAUGACGUUGAGGAAAAAAAAAAUAACAUGAAAGUGCCUUAUGUCCCGCUGGCCAAUGAGCAGCCUGGAGUCUGCAGCUCCCUCCCACCAGCGGUGGGGGGGGGGGGGGGGGCUCUUGGGCCGGCAGCAGGCUGGCCUGUGCCUCGCUCCAGCCGAGGAGAAUGGAUCGAGUCGCAGCUGGCCUUCCCUGCCAGGGCGGCGUUUAGAUUGGCUUCCGAAGACUGUUCUUCACGACGGUCAUUAAUAAUAAUCAUAAUAAUAAUAAAUAAUAAUAACAGCGGCCGAGGAGCUGUGGCGUGGCUGUGGACCUUAACGUAUAGCUGUCCCCAUCAUGGCCAUCGCCUGCGCCUAGCAGGAAGCCUAAAUCUGCACAUAGGGGCUUGUGGGAUUUGGAGUUCAGCAGUUGUAGUCUCUCAUUAUUCCCUCCCCUUACAGGUACCGGUUUGUUUUUAACCUGCCCCAGCAGCUGUACUGAAACGCGCCUGCAAGUUCUCCACAUUAAUAUCUACCUUCAGGGUUUGUUUUUAACCCUGACCUGCCCCAGCAGCUGUACUGAAACGCGCCUGCAAGUUCUCCACAUUAAUAUCUACCUUCAGGGUUUGUUUGACUGACACUUUGUGUUAUUACUGGUCCUGCGAUUUUUAGAUUCCCACUGUGACUCGCCGCAGUCCUGUAGUACCAGAUCGUCCUGUAGAGCUCUGCCAUCAGGCUACUGUGUGAAUGUCGGGGCUUUGGGGCCCUUGUGGGUGUGGCCAUGAUUAUGACAUCAGCAGCAGGCUCCUCCCUCUUCGCUUACUAUGCAAAUAAUGGGGCUCCACUGGUGAUUGUUUUCUCUGGCAUGAAGUGUCUUCCUGGCUACAUUUACAUAUAUAGUGCCAUAUCUCAAUGCUGCGGGACAGGCUGAGGAGGACGGGGACGUCCUCAGUCACCCCGGCAGAGUUACGUUCGAUGACAUCAUCUCACUGUCAUGCAAUACGCAAUGCACCUCAAUGUAUGAUGGUCGCAUCAUUGAUUUGAUUUCCAGUAUUACUUUUUGUUUUCCUUUCUUUCUGUGGAUGCCUGUUCAUUUAGUAGCCAGUUUUGAGUUUGUUCCUGUGUGUCCUUUGUAAGAUGCCAAACCAUUGACGUUUCAUAUUUGAGUUUCUUUGCUCUAAUGCUUUUUAUUUUGAAGUGUACAAAUUUAUUGCCUCUAAGCACGAGAAAAUCACACAGACAUGUUUGCAGUUACGGCUGAAAUUGUGUACUUUUCUAUUCUAUUUUGUAUGUAUGUAAUAAAAAAGAUAUUGACUUAUUUCUAGAUAUGAACCGCAAAGGGGUCAACAAAAACACUAAAGAUCAAAAUUGUACAGGUUUCAAACGAUGUGCCUGGUAUUUCUCUGCAGACCUGUAUGCCUUACGGUGACUAAUGAUUUACUCCAGGGGCUCGGAAGUCUCCCUGUGCCAUGGCAACACAAAGGGGAGAGCGAGGGUGCCCCUAGUGGACGGUGUAAGCCGUCACCUCCAUCGCCACCAGUGUUAACUAGCAUAGUCUCUGUCCAGCUAAUGAUGCACGAUAUAUAUAUAACUGUCUAUUAGUGCCGAGUGUGUUUUUAAAAAGCAAUAUUAUGCCGUUUCAUUUACUGUUGGUUUUUGGUUGUUUUGACGCGGCAUCAUUUGGACACCAGGCCAAUGCCUGACUGAGCCGGUCGCUUCCGGAGAGUUCCGUCUCCGUGGGGAUCGUCCCUCGCUUGCUGUCUCGCCGCUCUCUGCCCGCCAGGCAUCACAGAUUAACCAGUAGUAUUAUUUUAAUGAACGUCACACAUGCAAACUUACUAACAGCGGACAGGGGUCUCAAUCGUUAACCGCUCCAUUGUCCGUUUUAGAUGUCUGCUUUGGUUGUUUUAAAACAUGAAUUGUGUGUAAUUAAACAAAGGGGUGGGGUGAGACGUAACUUUUUAGAAUGCUAAACAGAAUCAUAACCCUUUGUACUGAAAAGCAAUAGUGGAAUAUUGAAAUCCUAGUGGAAAAAAAUAAAUAAAACUAACUUUGGUGCUACA